Long non-coding RNA from Neopsephotus bourkii (Bourke's parrot), 464 nucleotides. RefSeq lists it as uncharacterized. The record is from RefSeq and is a predicted model, not a curated record. NCBI's taxonomy places the organism in Eukaryota, Metazoa, Chordata, Aves, Psittaciformes, Psittacidae. The transcript has 3 exons.
CCUGAGCUGGUGACCGCAUGGUUUGCAGCGGGUGGGCAGGGGAUGCUCCAGUCCCUAUGGGAAGCCACAGAGGAAUGUGGGGGUACCACUUGCCAUGUGCCAAGGAGUAACUGCCUGUUCUAUCCCUCUGCAGCCUCAAGGCCGGGUUGAUGAUGAGCAGCACAGACCCAUCCAAGGGAGCUGGUUAUCCUUGGGGGCUGGUACAGCUGGACCUGGCUGCCAGCAAGGAGACUGGAUGCAAGGAUGUGCUGCCCAUGGAACCCCCUUUACCAGGCACCGGCGCUACCCAGCAGCCAUGGGACAUCAAUAGCUGCUCCCUGGGCACACAGACCCUGCCUGAACAAGGCACUGGCUUAAAGCACAAACCUGGUGCCUGCCUCUCCCUGUCAUCCCAGUGCAGGCAGAGGUCACGGCUCCAGUAACUGUGGGAAGAUCCAGCUGGAAACCCUGCUGGGGAAGUGACU